Molecule: ribosomal RNA, 1166 nt
Filed under: uncultured Pseudomonas sp.
Lineage: Bacteria; Pseudomonadati; Pseudomonadota; Gammaproteobacteria; Pseudomonadales; Pseudomonadaceae
Description: bacterial SSU rRNA
Rfam family: Bacterial small subunit ribosomal RNA
Source: RNAcentral
GCAGUCGAGCGGUAGAGAGAAGCUUGCUUCUCUUGAGAGCGGCGGACGGGUGAGUAAUGCCUAGGAAUCUGCCUGGUAGUGGGGGAUAACGUUCGGAAACGGACGCUAAUACCGCAUACGUCCUACGGGAGAAAGCAGGGGACCUUCGGGCCUUGCGCUAUCAGAUGAGCCUAGGUCGGAUUAGCUAGUUGGUGAGGUAAUGGCUCACCAAGGCGACGAUCCGUAACUGGUCUGAGAGGAUGAUCAGUCACACUGGAACUGAGACACGGUCCAGACUCCUACGGGAGGCAGCAGUGGGGAAUAUUGGACAAUGGGCGAAAGCCUGAUCCAGCCAUGCCGCGUGUGUGAAGAAGGUCUUCGGAUUGUAAAGCACUUUAAGUUGGGAGGAAGGGUUGUAGAUUAAUACUCUGCAAUUUUGACGUUACCGACGGAAUAAGCACCGGCUAACUCUGUGCCAGCAGCCGCGGUAAUACAGAGGGUGCAAGCGUUAAUCGGAAUUACUGGGCGUAAAGCGCGCGUAUGUGGUUUGUUAAGUUGGAUGUGAAAUCCCCGGGCUCAACCUGGGAACUGCAUUCAAAACUGACUGACUAGAGUAUGGUAGAGGGUGGUGGAAUUUCGUGUAUAACGAUGAAAUGCGUACAUAUNNGAAGGAACACCGGUGGCAAAGGCGACCACCUGGACUAAUACUGACACUGAGGUGCGAAAGCGUGGGGAGCAAACAGGAUUAGAUACCCUAGUAGUCCACACCAUAUACGAUGUCAACUAGCCCUUGGAAGCCUUGAGCUUNUAGUGUCGCAGCUAACGCAUUAAGUUGACCGCCUGNNNAGUACGGCCGCNNNGUUAAGACUCAUAUGAAUUGACGGGUGCCCGCACAAGCGGUGGAGCAUGUGGUUUAAUUCCNAAGCAACGCGGAAGAACCUUACCAGGCCUUGACAUCCAAUGAACUUUCUACAAGAUAGAUUGGUUGCCCUUCUGGNAACAUUGAAGACAUGGUGCUUGCAUGGNNUGUCGUCNNCCUCGUGUCCAUGAGAUGUUUGGGUUUAACUCCCCCUAACGAAGCGCAACCCCUUUGUCCCUUAAUUUACCAGCCACCUUAAUUGGUUGGGGCANUCCUAAGGGAAGACUGCCCGGGUGAACCAUACCCGNAANNAAAGGGUGGGGGGAAU